ACAUGCAAGUCGAGCGCGAAAGGCCUUCGGGUUGAGUAGAGCGGCGGACGGGUGAGUAACGCGUAGGAAUCUACCUGGUAGUGGGGGAUAACUUGGGGAAACUCAAGCUAAUACCGCAUACGCCCUAAGGGGGAAAGCGGGGGAUCCUCGGACCUCGCGCUAUUAGAUGAGCCCAAGUCGGAUUAGCUAGUUGGUAGGGUAAAGGCCUACCAAGGCGACGAUCCGUAGCUGGUCUGAGAGGAUGAUCAGCCACACUGGGACUGAGACACGGCCCAGACUCC
Molecule: ribosomal RNA, 281 nt
Filed under: unidentified marine bacterioplankton
Lineage: Bacteria
Description: partial 16S ribosomal RNA
Rfam family: Bacterial small subunit ribosomal RNA
Source: RNAcentral